RNAcentral lists this ribosomal RNA (460 nucleotides) under uncultured bacterium. Its description in RNAcentral is "partial 16S ribosomal RNA". It matches the Rfam family "Bacterial small subunit ribosomal RNA", at positions 338 to 795 of the family's 1533-position model. The record is from RNAcentral.
CCUACGGGAGGCAGCAGUGAGGAAUAUUGGUCAAUGGACGAGAGUCUGAACCAGCCAAGUAGCGUGAAGGAUGACUGCCCUAUGGGUUGUAAACUUCUUUUAUAUGGGAAUAAAAUGUUCCACGUGUGGGAUUUUGUAUGUACCAUAUGAAUAAGGAUCGGCUAACUCCGUGCCAGCAGCCGCGGUAAUACGGAGGAUCCGAGCGUUAUCCGGAUUUAUUGGGUUUAAAGGGAGCGUAGGUGGAUUGUUAAGUCAGUUGUGAAAGUUUGCGGCUCAACCGUAAAAUUGCAGUUGAAACUGGCAGUCUUGAGUACAGUAGAGGUGGGCGGAAUUCGUGGUGUAGCGGUGAAAUGCUUAGAAAUCACGAAGAACUCCGAUUGCGAAGGCAGUUCACUGGACUGCAACUGACACUGAGGCUCGAAAGUGUGGGUAUCAAACAGGAUUAGAUACCCAUGUAGUC